CAGCAGCCGCGGUAAUACGAAGGGUGCAAGCGUUAAUCGGAAUUACUGGGCGUAAAGCGUGCGUAGGCGGUGAGUUAAGUCUGCUGUGAAAUCCCCGGGCUCAACCUGGGAAUGGCAGUGGAUACUGGCUCGCUAGAGUGUGUCAGAGGAUGGUGGAAUUCCCGGUGUAGCGGUGAAAUGCGUAGAGAUCGGGAGGAACAUCAGUGGCGAAGGCGGCCAUCUGGGACAACACUGACGCUGAGGCACGAAAGCGUGGGGAGCAAACAGGAUUAGAUACCCGCGUAGUCCCUGUCUCUUUACA
RNAcentral lists this ribosomal RNA (301 nucleotides) under uncultured bacterium. RNAcentral's name for it is "partial 16S ribosomal RNA". It matches the Rfam family "Bacterial small subunit ribosomal RNA", at positions 509 to 808 of the family's 1533-position model. The record is from RNAcentral.